AUUGCUUCUCGGCCUUUUGGCUAAGAUCAAGUGUAGCAUCUUUGCACAGAGAUGAUGAGUAGGUAAUUCUGUUAAUACCUCUU
The sequence is a small nuclear RNA, 83 nucleotides long. Its record names the gene U2. It matches the Rfam family "U2 spliceosomal RNA". Rfam says of the family: U2 is a small nuclear RNA (snRNA) component of the spliceosome (involved in pre-mRNA splicing). Complementary binding between U2 snRNA (in an area lying towards the 5' end but 3' to hairpin I) and the branchpoint sequence (BPS) of the intron results the bulging out of an unpaired adenosine, on the BPS, which initiates a nucleophilic attack at the intronic 5' splice site, thus starting the first of two transesterification reactions that mediate splicing. The record is from Ensembl.